UAACACGUAGGGGGCAAGCGUUGUCCGGAUUUACUGGGCGUAAAGCGCGCGUAGGCGGCUUGUUAGGUUCCAUCGUGAAAGGCAGGGGCUCAACCCCUGGACUGCGAGGAAAACCGGCAGGCUGGAGAGAGGCAGAGGAAGGUGGAAUGGCUGGUGGAGCGGUGAAAUGCGUAGAGAUCAGCCGGAACACCCAAGGCGAAGGCAGCCUUCUGGGCCUCAUCUGACGCUGUGGCGCGAAAGCGUGGGGAGCGAACGGGAUUAGAUACCCCGGUAGUCCACGCCGUAAACGAUGGUCACUAGGUGUGGGGGGUAUCGACCCCCUCCGUGCCGGAGCUAACGCGAUAAGUGACCCGCCUGGGGAGUACGGCCGCAAGGUUG
RNAcentral lists this ribosomal RNA (378 nucleotides) under uncultured bacterium. RNAcentral's name for it is "bacterial SSU rRNA". It matches the Rfam family "Bacterial small subunit ribosomal RNA", at positions 521 to 896 of the family's 1533-position model. The record is from RNAcentral.